RNAcentral lists this ribosomal RNA (509 nucleotides) under uncultured bacterium. RNAcentral describes it as "bacterial SSU rRNA". It matches the Rfam family "Bacterial small subunit ribosomal RNA", at positions 19 to 518 of the family's 1533-position model. The record is from RNAcentral.
CUGGCUCAGGAUGAACGCUAGCUACAGGCUUAACACAUGCAAGUCGCGGGGCAGCAUGUCGGUUGCUUGCAACCGAUGAUGGCGACCGGCGCACGGGUGAGUAACGCGUAUCCAACCUUCCCCAUAGCAGGGUACAGCCCGGCGAAAGUCGGAUUAAUGCCCUAUGUCUUCGCAGAUGGCAUCUGAUGUGAAGCAAAGGUAUUCCGCUAUGGGAUGGGGGAUGCGUCUGAUUAGCUUGCCGGCGGGGUAACGGCCCACCGGGGCGACGAUCAGUAGGGGUUCUGAGAGGAAGGUCCCCCACACUGGUACUGAGACACGGACCAGACUCCUACGGGAGGCAGCAGUGAGGAAUAUUGGUCAAUGGGCGAGAGCCUGAACCAGCCAAGUAGCGUGCAGGACGACGGCCCUACGGGUUGUAAACUGCUUUUAUGCGGGAUAAAGUUCGCCAUGCGUGGUGUUUUGCAUGUACCGCAUGAAUAAGGACCGGCUAAUUCCGUGCCAGCCGCCGC